This 253-nucleotide ribosomal RNA is filed under the name uncultured bacterium. Its description in RNAcentral is "partial 16S ribosomal RNA". It matches the Rfam family "Bacterial small subunit ribosomal RNA", at positions 524 to 776 of the family's 1533-position model. The record is from RNAcentral.
UACGGGGGGGGCUAGCGUUAUUCGGAAUCAUUGGGCGUAAAGGGCGCGUAGGCGGAUAGGUAAGUCCGUGGUGAAAUCCUGCAGCUUAACUGCAGAACUGCCAUGGAUACUAUUUAUCUUGAAUGUCGUGGAGGUUAGCAGAAUAUGUCAUGUAGCGGUGAAAUGCUUAGAUAUGACAUAGAAUACCCAUUGCGAAGGCAGCUAACUACGCGAUAAUUGACGCUGAUGCACGAAAGCGUGGGGAUCAAACAGG